This 57-nucleotide microRNA precursor is filed under the name Oreochromis niloticus (Nile tilapia). RNAcentral's name for it is "microRNA oni-mir-10615b precursor". Lineage: Eukaryota; Metazoa; Chordata; Actinopteri; Cichliformes; Cichlidae. The record is from miRBase by way of RNAcentral.
UGCACAGCAUUAACGCGUUAGCGUAGUUAGCUUGUUAACGCAUUAGCGCUGUCCAGC